AGUUGGAAAAAACUGUACUUUUCUGUUAUUGAUGUUCAUUGUUUGUCUUUCUUUACAGUGCCUUCAAAAUUCAUAAUGCUGGUACAUCAUUUGUUUUUGCCUCGGAGCGACAAGAAGAUAUGAAAAAAUGGAUGAAUAAGAUGGGGUUAGCUGCUAUAUCCUUCUUCCUCCGAGGGUAAUCAAACAAGAUCAGACUAAAACCAAUGAAUAUUACAGCGAGAGUUCUGAUGAAGAUUUUCAUCCGUCUACAGCUAGCAGUAUGGAGUCACUUAACAGUGUAGGACAGAGCACCG
Saccostrea cuccullata (small rock oyster) is the source of this 293-nucleotide long non-coding RNA. RefSeq lists it as uncharacterized. The transcript has 3 exons. NCBI's taxonomy places the organism in Eukaryota, Metazoa, Mollusca, Bivalvia, Ostreida, Ostreidae. The record is from RefSeq and is a predicted model, not a curated record.